RNAcentral lists this long non-coding RNA (203 nucleotides) under Medicago truncatula (barrel medic). RNAcentral's name for it is "long non-coding RNA (MTRU_LNC006785)". The record is from RNAcentral. Lineage: Eukaryota; Viridiplantae; Streptophyta; Magnoliopsida; Fabales; Fabaceae.
UAAACCAUCAACACAUUCACAUUCUCAAAUACAUAAAUGCAUACUCAAUUAUUCACUCUAAGUACUUCAUUAAACCCAAUAUCAAGUUUGGAAAAGUUCCACGGCUCAUAGAAAAAGUUACGAUAAGUUUUCACAAAAAUCCACAUGACCCAUGUGUAGUAAUUUGAUCAUAACUCAGGUUCUAAAAAUCAUUUGCACGUCAA